UAUUGAAAAAUAACCAGUUGGCAACCUGCAUGCUUUGAAGCUUGGGUACAGAUUACUUUAAGAAUGUUUAUUAACUCAGAGGGGCUGGGACUGGAAUCAAGCAGCAGAUUUUCCUUUGUCAUUGUGUUUGGUUUGGAGAGGGAGGUGGAAGGGGGAGGUCGUGUUUUCUGUCCUGCUCAAAUGUUCUUGUUAGUGAUAUUUUCUGCAUCAGCUUUCAAACUCUCCAGGGAGAUAAAGCAAGGAAAACCAUUAAUAACACGCGGAUUACCCUCUCCUGACAUAUGAGAUCACUGUUGUUCCAUGUCCGGGUCAGCUAAGAAGCGUUUAAUUGGCAGCAGAAAACUGAGAUGAAAUAUGCCCCCCACCCUGCGUUUUGUAAACUCUGCAUGCCCUCGCUAAGGCUGAAUGUAAUAAACAGGGCUGACCUUUGGGUAUUUGCAGAGAGCACUGAGACAGAAGGGGAAUUCUCAGGUGCUCAGUCUCCUAUGAAUGACCACACAUGGGGUGUUGUUAUAAUUAAGUCUGGCUUGGGGCACUGGAAGCCCUAAAGGAACUUUAAGGCUGAUCCUGCUUAUACAAAUGCUAGCUUGCAUGAAUCAUUGGCUUUUAUAGGAACCCGUUUAAACCUGGUUUAUUAUCCAGCUGUUUCCUGUGUGUGUAAAGCAUUGUGUUCCCUGCAAAAUUUGUUGUAAGUUACUAGGUCUGAAUGGUCAUUCUCAUCACCAUAAAGAUUCGAACAAAGAACCACAUGUGUGUUUUGAGAAAGUCACCCAAAAAAGAUAAUCAGCAACAGCUAAAUAAUUUCCAGAAAGAGGUCAGAUGUCAAAUGUGAUUUAUGGAAGCCCUGGGUGUAACUAGGUAGCAAAACUGCCUUACUGCUUUCACAUGCUGCCAGUUGCCAACUUAAUCUUGUUUGUUGGUGUCUGUUGCUUUUUGUACUUGCCUCUAAAAAUAACCACCACGUCGUCUCCUCAGGGAACCCUAGAAUCAGUUACCGCAGCUAGAAGACGACUGUAAUUAAUGUGCUAAAACUGGAUACAAAGGGCAUCUUGGUUUCUUCUGCCGGCAAGAAAAAAGGAAAGGCUGUUUCUGGAGAUCCGUGAGCCAAUGUUAGUAUUUGUUUGGGCGACAGUUUCACACGCAGGUCCCAGCAGAUAGCGACAGCCGCUGCUCCCAGAGUUUGACUGCCAAAGUCUAAUUUGAGACAACCUGAAAAGCCAAGAUGUGUUGAAGAAUGGUGACAACCAGGACUACAUCAGCUAGCACCCCUGAGAACAAAGCUUUCAGUGUGGUUGGUAAGAUUUGGAGAACUUCAAAAAGCUGGAGAAAAUGAAUCAGAAGCACAUGCUUUCACAUUGCAAACUUGGGCCCUUCUCUGCUACCCAUUUAUCCUGUGCAUUGCUAUCACUGCAUUGGAUAUGCUGUCUAUUUAAAGAACAGAGGUAAAUUUUGUGCAAUUUAGUGAGUCACAAUCACCUUUGCUUUAGUUUCAUAAGAGAAGUGAACAAGUGUUGUUUUUUAAAUCUAUUUCUGCCAUACAAGCUAGUUUCCAAACUCUUUGUCUAGAGUCAUAGCAAUUUUUUCUAAUCAAGGCUCAUGAGUUGUAUGGUAACUGAAUCCAAGUGCUGGUAUGCUUCUGUAGCUGAGUUCGGUGCUAAAAUGAUUUCUUGAAACAAGUUUACAGGCUGAAAAAUUUAGACUCCAUCCAAUACACCAUGCAGUUGACAUUUCAGUUUCAUUUUGGCUGCCAUCUGCU
Alligator sinensis (Chinese alligator) is the source of this 1756-nucleotide long non-coding RNA. RefSeq lists it as uncharacterized. The record is from RefSeq and is a predicted model, not a curated record. Lineage: Eukaryota; Metazoa; Chordata; Crocodylia; Alligatoridae. The transcript is spliced from 3 exons.